AUUGAACGCUGGCGGCAGGCCUAACACAUGCAAGUCGAACGGUAACAGGAAGCAGCUUGCUGCUUCGCUGACGAGUGGCGGACGGGUGAGUAAUGUCUGGGAAACUGCCUGAUGGAGGGGGAUAACUACUGGAAACGGUAGCUAAUACCGCAUAACGUCGCAAGACCAAAGAGGGGGACCUUAGGGCCUCUUGCCAUCGGAUGUGCCCAGAUGGGAUUAGCUAGUAGGUGGGGUAACGGCUCACCUAGGCGACGAUCCCUAGCUGGUCUGAGAGGAUGACCAGCCACACUGGAACUGAGACACGGUCCAGACUCCUACGGGAGGCAGCAGUGGGGAAUAUUGCACAAUGGGCGCAAGCCUGAUGCAGCCAUGCCGCGUGUAUGAAGAAGGCCUUCGGGUUGUAAAGUACUUUCAGCGGGGAGGAAGGGAGUAAAGUUAAUACCUUUGCUCAUUGACGUUACCCGCAGAAGAAGCACCGGCUAACUCCGUGCCAGCAGCCGCGGUAAUACGGAGGGUGCAAGCGUUAAUCGGAAUUACUGAGCGUAAAGCGCACGCAGGCGGUUUGUUAAGUCAGAUGUGAAAUCCCCGGGCUCAACCUGGGAACUGCAUCUGAUACUGGCAAGCUUGAGUCUCGUAGAGGGGGGUAGAAUUCCAGGUGUAGCGGUGAAAUGCGUAGAGAUCUGGAGGAAUACCGGUGGCGAAGGCGGCCCCCUGGACGAAGACUGACGCUCAGGUGCGAAAGCGUGGGGAGCAAACAGGAUUAGAUACCCUGGUAGUCCACGCCGUAAACGAUGUCGACUUGGAGGUUGUGCCCUUGAGGCGUGGCUUCCGGAGCUAACGCGUUAAGUCGACCGCCUGGGGAGUACGGCCGCAAGGUUAAAACUCAAAUGAAUUGACGGGGGCCCGCACAAGCGGUGGAGCAUGUGGUUUAAUUCGAUGCAACGCGAAGAACCUUACCUGGUCUUGACAUCCACGGAAGUUUUCAGAGAUGAGAAUGUGCCUUCGGGAACCGUGAGACAGGUGCUGCAUGGCUGUCGUCAGCUUGUGUUGUGAAAUGUUGGGUUAAGUCCCGCAACGAGCGCAACCCUUAUCCUUUGUUGCCAGCGGUCCGGCCGGGAACUCAAAGGAGACUGCCAGUGAUAAACUGGAGGAAGGUGGGGAUGACGUCAAGUCAUCAUGGCCCUUACGACCAGGGCUACACACGUGCUACAAUGGCGCAUACAAAGAGAAGCGACCUCGCGAGAGCAAGCGGACCUCAUAAAGUGCGUCGUAGUCCGGAUUGGAGUCUGCAACUCGACUCCAUGAAGUCGGAAUCGCUAGUAAUCGUGGAUCAGAAUGCCACGGUGAAUACGUUCCCGGGCCUUGUACACACCGCCCGUCACACCAUGGGAGUGGGUUGCAAAAGAAGUAGGUAGCUUAACCUUCGGGAGGGCGCUUACCACUUUGUGAUUCAUGACUGGGGUGAAGUCGUAACAAGGUAACCGUAGGGGAACC
This 1494-nucleotide ribosomal RNA is filed under the name uncultured bacterium. RNAcentral's name for it is "bacterial SSU rRNA". It matches the Rfam family "Bacterial small subunit ribosomal RNA". The record is from RNAcentral.